This 71-nucleotide transfer RNA is filed under the name Anaerolineae bacterium. Its description in RNAcentral is "tRNA-Gly". It matches the Rfam family "tRNA". From Rfam's summary of the family: Transfer RNA (tRNA) molecules are approximately 80 nucleotides in length. Their secondary structure includes four short double-helical elements and three loops (D, anti-codon, and T loops). Further hydrogen bonds mediate the characteristic L-shaped molecular structure. tRNAs have two regions of fundamental functional importance: the anti-codon, which is responsible for specific mRNA codon recognition, and the 3' end, to which the tRNAs corresponding amino acid is attached (by aminoacyl-tRNA synthetases). tRNAs cope with the degeneracy of the genetic code in two manners: having more than one tRNA (with a specific anti-codon) for a particular amino acid; and 'wobble' base-pairing, i.e. permitting non-standard base-pairing at the 3rd anti-codon position. Lineage: Bacteria; Bacillati; Chloroflexota; Anaerolineae. The record is from RNAcentral.
GCGGGCAUGGUGUAGCGGUAACACAUCAGCCUUCCAAGCUGCUAUCGCGGGUUCGAUUCCCGCUGCCCGCU